UACGAAGGGGGCUAGCGUUGUUCGGAAUUACUGGGCGUAAAGCGCGCGCAGGCGGAUCAUCAAGUCAGGGGUGAAAGCCCAGAGCUCAACUCUGGAACUGCCUUUGAAACUGGUGAUCUUGAGUACGGGAGGGGUGAGUAGAAUUCCACGUGUAGCGGUGAAAUGCGUAGAGAUGUGGAGGAACACCAGUGGCGAAGGCGGCUCUCUGGUCUGUAACUGACGCUGAGGCGCGAAAGCGUGGGGAGCAAACAGG
RNAcentral lists this ribosomal RNA (253 nucleotides) under uncultured bacterium. RNAcentral describes it as "partial 16S ribosomal RNA". It matches the Rfam family "Bacterial small subunit ribosomal RNA", at positions 524 to 776 of the family's 1533-position model. The record is from RNAcentral.